UGAGGAAUCUGCCCUUCUCUUCGGAAUAAGCGUUGGAAACGACGUCUAAUGCCGAAUACGACCUCCUUUCGCAUGAUCGGAGGUGGAAAGCUCCGGCGGAGAAGGAUGAGCUCGCGGCCUAUCAGCUAGUUGGUGUGGGUAAUGGCCCACCAAGGCGACGACGGGUAGCCGGCCUGAGAGGGUGACCCGGCCACACGUGGGACUGAGACACGGCCCAGACUCCGUACGGGAGCAGCAGG
RNAcentral lists this ribosomal RNA (239 nucleotides) under uncultured bacterium. RNAcentral's name for it is "partial 16S ribosomal RNA". It matches the Rfam family "Bacterial small subunit ribosomal RNA", at positions 118 to 354 of the family's 1533-position model. The record is from RNAcentral.